GUGAAGGUCCAGUUUGGCAACACAUAUGCUAAAAUGGGAAUGAUAUAGAAAAGAUUAACAUGGUCCCUGUGCAAGGAUGACAUAAAUAUUUUUAAAAUGUUUCAUAUUUUA
This is a small nuclear RNA of Cercocebus atys (sooty mangabey), 111 nucleotides long. The record is from Ensembl. Lineage: Eukaryota; Metazoa; Chordata; Mammalia; Primates; Cercopithecidae.